Molecule: ribosomal RNA, 253 nt
Filed under: uncultured bacterium
Lineage: Bacteria
Description: partial 16S ribosomal RNA
Rfam family: Bacterial small subunit ribosomal RNA
Source: RNAcentral
UACGUAGGGGGCAAGCGUUGUCCGGAAUCAUUGGGCGUAAAGAGCGUGUAGGCGGCUUGGUAAGUCCGCUGUGAAAGUCCAGGGCUCAACCCUGGAAAGCCGGUGGAAACUGUCAAGCUUGAGUCCGGAAGAGGCGAGUGGAAUUCCUGGUGUAGCGGUGAAAUGCGCAGAUAUCAGGAGGAACACCGAUGGCGAAGGCAGCUCGCUGGGACGGUACUGACGCUGAGACGCGAAAGCGUGGGGAGCAAACGGG